UACGAAAGGGGCUAGCGUUGCUCGGAAUUACUGGGCGUAAAGGGAGCGUAGGCGGAUAGUUUAGUCAGAGGUGAAAGCCCAGGGCUCAACCUUGGAAUUGCCUUUGAUACUGGCUAUCUUGAGUGUGGGAGAGGUAUGUGGAACUCCGAGUGUAGAGGUGAAAUUCGUAGAUAUUCGGAAGAACACCAGUGGCGAAGGCGACAUACUGGCCCAUUACUGACGCUGAGGCUCGAAAGCGUGGGGAGCAAACAGG
Molecule: ribosomal RNA, 253 nt
Filed under: uncultured bacterium
Lineage: Bacteria
Description: partial 16S ribosomal RNA
Rfam family: Bacterial small subunit ribosomal RNA
Source: RNAcentral